Molecule: ribosomal RNA, 253 nt
Filed under: uncultured bacterium
Lineage: Bacteria
Description: partial 16S ribosomal RNA
Rfam family: Bacterial small subunit ribosomal RNA
Source: RNAcentral
UACGUAGGGUGCAAGCGUUGUCCGGAAUUAUUGGGCGUAAAGAGCUCGUAGGCGGUUUGUCGCGUCGAAUGUGAAAUCCCGGGGCUCAACCCUGGGUCUGCAUUCGAUACGGGCAGACUAGAGUUCGGUAGGGGAGUCUGGAAUUCCUGGUGUAGCGGUGGAAUGCGCAGAUAUCAGGAGGAACACCUAUAGCGAAGGCAGCUUGCUGGGACGACACUGACGCUGAGGCGCGAAAGCGUGGGGAGCGAACAGG